GGGUGCAAUCAUACCAGCACUAAUGCACCGGAUCCCAUCAGAACUCCACAGUUAAGCGCGCUUGGGCGAGAGUAGUACUAAGAUGGGUGACCUCCUGGGAAAUCCUCGUGUUGCACCCC
Molecule: non-coding RNA, 119 nt
Organism: Morus notabilis
Lineage: Eukaryota; Viridiplantae; Streptophyta; Magnoliopsida; Rosales; Moraceae
Source: Rfam